RNAcentral lists this long non-coding RNA (663 nucleotides) under Mytilus galloprovincialis (Mediterranean mussel). Lineage: Eukaryota; Metazoa; Mollusca; Bivalvia; Mytilida; Mytilidae. The record is from RNAcentral.
UAUGAUUAUGGGUAGAUUUUGUUUCUAUAUUUAUAGAUUUUUAAGAUAUGUUGCAUUGUGUGUCAGUAUAAUAAUUAUGAAACCAAUUAUUUAAUGUAUGGUAUUGUUACUUAUGUUAAUUAGAAAUUAUCACUCUGUUUUCAAACAUUACAAUGCUGUUGUCAAAAGUUAUACAUACUCUUAAAAAACAUGUGUACACUUGUAAAAAAAGGUGUAGUUCAUCAUCUGGAUUUGGUGGUUUUAGAAAGUUGUUUUAAAUGAAAUUACAAGGAUUAAGGGUAGAAAAGGGGGGAUAUGAAAUAAAAAUGAUUUCCCCAUCAUCAAAAAUUAAUUCUAUGCUAUUUAAAAGAAACACCAAAUAUCUGGUAAUCAUGCUACCUUAAAUAAGGGUUGUUUCCAAAUUUAUCGGAAGGGGGAAUGGGAGGACUCAAAUUUAUCUAAAAUGGUUGGUUGCAUUUUCUUCAGAAUUCUGUAAGAAUUGUAUGUAAAAUGAACUUUAUUUUAUGGGUGGUCAGGGUCUUAAAAAAGUGCCUCCUCUCCUCAAUGUAAUUUUGAAACAGCCCUAAGCAUGAACCAGCCUCCUUAUUGGUGCAAUUGUCAAUUUUAAUUUAGACAUAAGAAUAUGAUUAAAAUGCAACUUUCACAUGUUGAAAUGGUAAAACU